RNAcentral lists this long non-coding RNA (359 nucleotides) under Pelobates cultripes (western spadefoot toad). The record is from RNAcentral. Lineage: Eukaryota; Metazoa; Chordata; Amphibia; Anura; Pelobatidae.
UCUAAAUUUGCGGAGAACAAAUUAACUGAAUCAAUGAAUCCCCUUUACUCCCCCCGUACAAUAAAAUACGCUGCUGCAAAUCUUACUCUCAAAUGCAAGUACGAACAAAUAAGAAAACGACAACCACCCUCGUUAAUUCACAGUCAUUAUCACUCCAGGUAGGUGUCUAUGCGAAAUAUUUCAUAGACAACACUUAUCGCACUUCUGCUACACCAACCACUAAGCAAUGUUUUAAAACCAUAUUUGCUACUGAGAGCUAUUUAUCGGGAGUGUUAAAAUCUUGAAGGAACGUAUUCUCUCAGCCACUGCAGGUCUUCUGCUCUUCCUGUCCCUCUGCGGCAGAGAAUGGAAUUAACGAG